This 497-nucleotide ribosomal RNA is filed under the name uncultured bacterium. RNAcentral's name for it is "partial 16S ribosomal RNA". It matches the Rfam family "Bacterial small subunit ribosomal RNA", at positions 28 to 507 of the family's 1533-position model. The record is from RNAcentral.
GAUGAACGCUGGCGGCGUGCCUAAUACAUGCAAGUCGAGCGAACAGACGAGGAGCUUGCUCCUUCGACGUUAGCGGCGGACGGGUGAGUAACACGUGGGUAACCUACCUAUAAGACUGGGAUAACUUCGGGAAACCGGAGCUAAUACCGGAUAAUAUUUCGAACCGCAUGGUUCGAUAGUGAAAGAUGGCUUUGCUAUCACUUAUAGAUGGACCUGCGCCGUAUUAGCUAGUUGGUAAGGUAACGGCUUACCAAGGCAACGAUACGUAGCCGACCUGAGAGGAUGAUCAGCCACACUGGAACUGAGACACGGUCCAGACUCCUACGGGAGGCAGCAGUAGGGAAUCUUCCGCAAUGGGCGAAAGCCUGACGGAGCAACGCCGCGUGAGUGAUGAAGGUCUUCGGAUCGUAAAACUCUGUUAUUAGGGAAGAACAAAAGUGUAAGUAACUGUGCACGUCUUGACGGUACCUAAUCAGAAAGCCACGGCUAACUACGUG